UCCUUGUAUCUCUCCCAUGCAUCAUAAAGAGUUUCUAAAUCCAUCUGCACAAAAGAAGAGAUAUCAUUCCUCAACUU
Molecule: small nucleolar RNA, 77 nt
Filed under: Gossypium arboreum
Lineage: Eukaryota; Viridiplantae; Streptophyta; Magnoliopsida; Malvales; Malvaceae
Description: Plant small nucleolar RNA R71
Rfam family: Plant small nucleolar RNA R71
About the family: R71 is a member of the C/D box family of snoRNAs containing the C (UGAUGA) and D (CUGA) box motifs. Multiple nearly identical copies of this snoRNA have been identified in Arabidopsis, and it is thought to function as a 2'-O-ribose methylation guide for 18S ribosomal RNA.
Source: Rfam by way of RNAcentral